CAAAGGUAAACCAUGUCCGCUUAGAUUGAUCAAAGGCUGCAGCGAUCGAUCUACCCAUGAACAUCGUCCAUGAUCGGCUAAUUAACUGCAGGUGGAUGUGAUGCGUAACACCCAUAGUAUGCAGUAUACGCCGGCAACUCCCAGGCGUUCAAACGCACGCGCAGACGUCCUGCAAAAUGAAGGCACGGCAACACCGUUAACCUUGGGCAAUGUUUUGCUACAACGAAGCGCCGACAAGACAAAGCGUCGCGAUCUCGGGUCCUAGACUUGGUGAAGGCAUCGGACACCUUGGAGCACUCGACCAGGCGAUGGUUAUGGCCUAUAGGCCACAAAGGAAUCAGAAAAUAAUAGUUGUACGGGCAGCGGACGACACAAAGACUUCAGCUCUUGGCUCUAUUCGCAGGUGGUGGUGCUCCCUUGCAGGAAAUGAGGCUCAGGACGAUGCUCUUUUUCAUAUGACAUGAGGACGAUGCUCUACACCAUUAUUUUAGGAAUUGGCGGAGUGAUCAGGAGGUACCUCUUUAUUUAUAGUCAUCAUAAGGAUAUUGUUGCACUUAGGUCCAUGGCGGCGGCAUAGGAAGUUUAGUUCCGCUAUACACGUCAGGAUUAUGCAACGAUCUUCCACAGAGUUGGCUAGAAUUGGCUCAAAAUAAAUUUCAUUGAUCGGAAGUAUGCAACAAGCAUGGUCUUAUUUUCGUCAUAUGGCCCAUAUUCUGAUUCGAUUCUAAAACUGCACUGCAGGAGAAUUGAUCGUCUUCCAAGAUUUCAAUUUGUUGGAAAAAUAGUUAUUUGAAGAACUGUAGUUCUCUAGAAAAUGAAAACCAGAAACAUCGAUGCUCUUUACUGAAAUUGUAAAAAUAAUAUGAUAGGUUCAAUCAUGUAUCUUACGCCUUCAAGUGUUUCUAUGUGUUAGCAA
Molecule: long non-coding RNA, 916 nt
Organism: Lolium perenne
Lineage: Eukaryota; Viridiplantae; Streptophyta; Magnoliopsida; Poales; Poaceae
Source: RefSeq, a predicted model, not a curated record